GCCAGCUUUUCACCCAACCACUGCCACCAUUUUAAAUCCACAACAUUGAGAGACAUGAGAAAUCAUGCUCACAUUCCACCAGACCUGAAAAGCUUCAUAACUACUGUGCGUGCGUACGUGUAAAAACCAUGAUGCCCGUUUCACUUUCAGGAGGUUUUUGGAACCAUUUCAGUUUAAUGCAUGUUUUGAAUCGGCCCAUCUGCAGUGAAGGUCAUUUUAUAUUUUUACAGAUGUGUCGGAGGACCGGAUGGUUCGACAACAGUGGUUACUGGGGUAUUUGGGGACUUGAUGUCUUAAGCAAGAAAACCUGUCAGGUGCCACAUCCCGCCAUUGGUCCUUUACAAAUUUGGAAAACGCAAGAGACCGGGGUACCUAGGAAACGAAACGCUCAAAGAACAUCUUUGUUAAAGGAUUUUGCACAGAAGUGGAACAUUUUUACAAAGGACUUUUGCAAGCGACACUAACGGUCGAUGUGGUAUUGAAUUACACGACAGUUUGCAUAUGAUUUAGCCUCAAGCUUAGUCAUAUCUGUGAAUCCACAUACUAGAGUUGGUUACACAAUGAUGUAUUCUGCCCUUAGUACCUCAGCUGGUUUUGAAAUGUGCUACGUUUGGCGCAGCCUGAAAGGCGGCUUCUUUCAAAGUUUAUAUAAGGAGGGUGGAAUAAGAAUGUGCGUUCAACUACAUAUUUCGUGGAACAAAUUUUGACUGCUGACAUUUAUACAUUUUUAGUAAUGUUUGAGAGAAACAUUAUUCUAUUUAUGGACGUAUUUCUCUUGAGCUGGAUCCUAAUGGUCCCUUCUUUGAUACUGGUACUGAAAACCUAUGGUUAUAUUCUUAUGUUUAUGUUAGCCUAAUUCCUUCUGAAUUAGAUAGUUGUUGACACACUGAAGGUGGAUCCACAGAUCAAAUUUAAGUCUGUUAUAUUUGGUGCCCUCUUUAUUUCUAGUUCCAGUUCAGGACUAUCGUGUCAUCAAUCUAUUCAUAUCGUUGGGUAAAUCCAAUACUUUUUCCAGGUCUCUUUAAAUUAGGCCUACCGUAUUUUUUUAUGAAUUACUGAAAUUCAAUUCAAUUUAUAUUGACACUAGAUUUUUUCCAACCAGAGGAAAGGUAUAAAAUCCAAAGGAAUACAUUCAAGCUGAAUUAUUUAUUCCUUGGCCCCAUCUCUCUUAGCCUUAUUUCUUACCUAUAGUUUCUAGUUUUUUUUAUGAUGGGUUGGUGACAGACAAGCCGUUGAUGCACACUGCCCCAUAAAAAAAUGUCAAAUGUACUGUAAGCCAAAAUGUUUGGAUUCUGAGCAUGUGGUAUUUUAUGUAUUAUGAGGGAAAACUUGAGAAAACAGCUUCCACGGUAGCUUCAGAAUUGUUUUGAUCUAGUGCUGUAACUGUUAAUGAAGUACAAUUUCUUUUUUCAAUGAUUUAGAGAUUGCAGAAUUAACUAUCCCCACAACCGUCAUGGAAUUACUUAAAAGUUACACCUAGAGUCACUUAUAGUCAAACUGUAUUCAAAUGAUGUUCUUUUCUAAAUCUUAUUUAUCCCCUGCAAUUGAUAGUUUAUUUUAAUCAUUUUUGUUUUUGAUCCCCCCCUCUGUUUCCAUAAGUGGAAAUAAAUAAAGUAAAUAAUGCA
Anguilla anguilla (European eel) is the source of this 1625-nucleotide long non-coding RNA. RefSeq lists it as uncharacterized. The transcript has 2 exons. The record is from RefSeq and is a predicted model, not a curated record. Lineage: Eukaryota; Metazoa; Chordata; Actinopteri; Anguilliformes; Anguillidae.